GCUUGUCUCAAAGAUUAAGCCAUGCAUGUCUCAGUAUAAGUUCCUGUACGGCGAAACUGCGAAUGGCUCAUUAAAACAGUUACAGUUUAUUUGAUAGUACCUUACUACAUGGAUAACCGUGGUAAUUCUAGAGCUAAUACAUGCUAAAAACCUCGACUUCGGAAGGGGUGUAUUUAUUAGAUAAAAAACCAAUGCCCUUCGGGGCUCCUUGGUGAAUCAUAAUAACUUAACGAAUCGCAUGGCCUUGCGCCGGCGAUGGUUCAUUCAAAUUUCUGCCCUAUCAACUUUCGAUGGUAGGAUAGUGGCCUACCAUGGUAUCAACGGGUAACGGGGAAUUAGGGUUCGACUCCGGAGAGGGAGCCUGAGAAACGGCUACCACAUCCAAGGAAGGCAGCAGG
Molecule: ribosomal RNA, 398 nt
Filed under: Cladosporium bruhnei
Lineage: Eukaryota; Fungi; Ascomycota; Dothideomycetes; Cladosporiales; Cladosporiaceae
Description: partial small subunit ribosomal RNA
Rfam family: Eukaryotic small subunit ribosomal RNA
Source: RNAcentral